This 117-nucleotide microRNA precursor is filed under the name Echinops telfairi (small Madagascar hedgehog). RNAcentral describes it as "miRNA (ENSETEG00000026411.1)". The stretch from base 12 to 101 matches the Rfam family "mir-1284 microRNA precursor family". Lineage: Eukaryota; Metazoa; Chordata; Mammalia; Afrosoricida; Tenrecidae. The record is from RNAcentral.
AUUUUGAUAUAUAAACCAGUUUAAUGUUUUCUGCACAGACCCUGGCUUUCCUAAAUUUUAUAUUUUGUAAAGCCUGCGUUUGUAUUGGACCUUCUGGUUUCUUUCAUAUUGAAAAUC